ACCAACAACAUGGGUCAGUGUGUCUGGCUGUUAACCAGAAGGCUGGUGGUUCAAGCCCACCCAGGGAUG
Molecule: non-coding RNA, 69 nt
Organism: Podarcis lilfordi (Lilford's wall lizard)
Lineage: Eukaryota; Metazoa; Chordata; Lepidosauria; Squamata; Lacertidae
Source: the annotation of a GenBank genome assembly